RNAcentral lists this transfer RNA (71 nucleotides) under Actinomycetota bacterium. RNAcentral describes it as "Actinobacteria bacterium tRNA-Lys". Lineage: Bacteria; Bacillati; Actinomycetota. The record is from RNAcentral.
GGGCCGUAGCUCAAGCGGUAGAGCACUGCGCGCUUCACGGAGCAGAUGCGGAUCGAAAUCCGCCCGGCCCA